RNAcentral lists this ribosomal RNA (273 nucleotides) under uncultured bacterium. RNAcentral describes it as "partial 16S ribosomal RNA". The record is from RNAcentral.
CUGCUGCCUCCCGUAGGAGUCUGGUCCGUGUCUCAGUACCAGUGUGGGGGACCUUCCUCUCAGAACCCCUACGCAUCGUCGGUUAGGUGGGCCGUUACCCCGCCUACUGCCUAAUGCGCCGCAUGCCCAUCCCUGUCCGGCCGAAGCCUUUCCUGCCUCCGGGAUGCCCCGGUGGCAUGUACGCGGAUUUAGCCCGCCUUUCGGCGGGUUGUCCCCCUGACAGGGGCAGGUUGCAUACGUGUUACUCACCCGUGCGCCGGUCGCCGGCGGAAG